This 502-nucleotide ribosomal RNA is filed under the name uncultured Gram-positive bacterium. RNAcentral's name for it is "bacterial SSU rRNA". It matches the Rfam family "Bacterial small subunit ribosomal RNA", at positions 8 to 521 of the family's 1533-position model. The record is from RNAcentral.
AGAGUUUGAUCCUGGCUCAGGAUGAACGCUGGCGGCGUGCCUAACACAUGCAAGUCGAACGGACCUGACUUGAAACCUAGUGAUUGUCAGGUUAGUGGCGGACGGGUGAGUAACGCGUGGAUAACCUGCCGUAUGCAGGGGGAUAACAGCUGGAAACAGCUGCUAAUACCGCAUAAGCGCACGGUACCGCAUGGUAUUGUGUGAAAAGAUUUAUCGGCAUACGAUGGAUCCGCGUCCGAUUAGCCGGUUGGCGGGGUAACGGCCCACCAAAGCAACGAUCGGUAGCCGGCCUGAGAGGGCGGACGGCCACAUUGGGACUGGGACACGGCCCAAACUCCUACGGGAGGCAGCAGUGGGGAAUAUUGCACAAUGGGGGAAACCCUGAUGCAGCGACGCCGCGUGAGUGAAGAAGUAUUUCGGUACGUAAAGCUCUAUCAGCAGGGAAGAAAAUGACGGUACCUGAUUAAGAAGCCCCGGCUAACUACGUGCCAGCAGCCGCGGU